GUGAGGAAUUUUCCGCAAUGGGCGAAAGCCUGACGGAGCAAUGCCGCGUGAAGGAUGAAGGCCUAUGGGUUGUAAACUUCUUUUCUCAGAAAAGAAUUAUGACGGUAUCUGAGGAAUAAGCAUCGGCUAACUCUGUGCCAGCAGCCGCGGUAAGACAGAGGAUGCAAGCGUUAUCCGGAAUGAUUGGGCGUAAAGCGUCUGUAGGUUGUUUAAAAAGUAUUCUGUCAAAGUUUAGGGCUUAACCCUAGAUAGGCAGAAUAAACUUUUAAGCUAGAGUUUGGUAGAGGCAGAGGGAAUUCCCGGUGGAGCGGUGAAAUGCGUAGAUAUCGGGAGGAACACCAAAGGCGAAGGCACUCUGCUGGGCCAAUACUAACACUGAGAGACGAAAGCGAGGGGAGCAAAUGGGAUUAGAUACCCGUGUAGUCC
Molecule: ribosomal RNA, 426 nt
Filed under: uncultured bacterium
Lineage: Bacteria
Description: bacterial SSU rRNA
Rfam family: Bacterial small subunit ribosomal RNA
Source: RNAcentral